UACGUAGGGUGCGAGCGUUGUCCGGAAUUACUGGGCGUAAAGAGCUCGUAGGUGGUUUGUCGCGUUGUUCGUGAAAACUCACAGCUUAACUGUGGGCGUGCGGGCGAUACGGGCAGACUGGAGUACUGCGGGGGAGACUGGAAUUCCUGGUGUAGCGGUGGAAUGCGCAGAUAUCAGGAGGAACACCGGUGGCGAAGGCGGGUCUCUGGGCAGUAACUGACGCUGAGGAGCGAAAGCGUGGGGAGCGAACAGG
Molecule: ribosomal RNA, 253 nt
Filed under: uncultured bacterium
Lineage: Bacteria
Description: partial 16S ribosomal RNA
Rfam family: Bacterial small subunit ribosomal RNA
Source: RNAcentral